GACGAACGCUGGCGGCGUGCUUAACACAUGCAAGUCGAACGGAAAGGCCCUGAUAUUGUGGGGUGAUCGAGGGGCGAACGGGUGCGUAACACGUGAGUAACCUGACCUUGACUUUGGGAUAACUUCAGGAAACUGGGGCUAAUAUCGGAUCGGAGAUCCUGCUGCAUGGUGGGGGUUGGAACGUUUCGGCGGUUGGGGAUGGACUCGCGGCUUAUCAGCUCGCUGGUGGGGUAGUGGCUUACCAAGGCUUUGACGGGUAGGCGGCCUGAGAGGGUGAACGGCCACAUUGGGACUGAGAUACGGCCCAGACUCCUACGGGAGGCAGCAGGGGGGAAUAUGGCACAAUGGGCGGAAGCCUGAUGCAGCAACGCCGCGGUCGGGAUGACGGCCUUCGGGGUGUAAACCGCUUUCGCCUGUGACGAAGCGGGAGUGACGGUAAUGGGUAAAGAAGCACCGGCUAACUACGUG
This 468-nucleotide ribosomal RNA is filed under the name uncultured bacterium. Its description in RNAcentral is "partial 16S ribosomal RNA". It matches the Rfam family "Bacterial small subunit ribosomal RNA", at positions 28 to 507 of the family's 1533-position model. The record is from RNAcentral.